GAUUAACGCUGGCGGCGUGCCUAACACAUGCAAGUCGAACGAGGUAGCAAUACCUAGUGGCAGACGGGUGAGUAACGCGUGGUCAACCUACCGUUGAGUGGGGAGUAACUAGCCGAAAGGUUAGCUAAUACCGCAUACGUCUCCGAGGGGCGAUCCCUUGGCGAUAAAAGGAAGCAAUCCGCUCGAUGACGGGACCGCGUCCCAUUAGCUAGAUGGUGGGGUAACGGCCUACCAUGGCACCGAGGGUAGCUGGUUUGAGAGAGCGACCAGCCACACUGGGACUGAGAAACGGCCCAGACUCCUACGGGAGGCAGCAGUGAGGAAUUUUGGGCAAUGGGCGCAAGCCUGACCCAGCAACGCCGCGUGAAGGAUGAAAUUUUUCGGAAUGUAAACUUCGCAAGAACAGGAAGAAUAAGUGUGGGACAAUACCCCACAUGAUGACGGUACUUGUUUGUAAGCUCCGGCUAACUCCGUGCCAGCCGCCG
Molecule: ribosomal RNA, 485 nt
Filed under: uncultured bacterium
Lineage: Bacteria
Description: bacterial SSU rRNA
Rfam family: Bacterial small subunit ribosomal RNA
Source: RNAcentral